UAUCUCAUUGUAGUUCUGAUUUGCAUUUCUCUAAUGAUCAGUGAUGUUGAGAUUUCUUUUUCAUGUGAUUGUUGGUUGCAUGUAUACCUUCUUUGGUUCUUUUGGUUUUAUAUGAAUUUUGAAAUAAAUUUUGGACAAUUUGUUUAUACUGUGUGUGUGUCCAGUUGUGAUUGGAAUAUAUUGUAGAAACUCAAGUAAAUAUCUUCUAAUGACUCAAUGAAUUGAUUUAUUUGGGAUGCUUUAUAAAAAGUAUAACUUUUUCCUAAUGCAGAAUGUCCUAGUAGAAAUAAAAAAAUACAGUAUAUCAAUAAUUCCUAGCAUUCCCAAGGAAGGAAACAAGUAAUCGUAUUAAGUAAAAUGAUAAAAUAAUACAAGUCUUAAUGUUGAUGCCCAACAUCAAGCCAUUUUUAAGAAUCACAAGCAGUGCAGCAGUAUUAUUGCUGAUGCUUUAAAGCUGAGCCAUAUUUUCUUAGAUAUUUAUAGGAUGGCUUUGUAGGUAAAAUACAGGAGUAAAUACCUGUGCUAGGUUGUUUUAUCGUGCAGUUAUUCAUUCUUCCUUUCCUGUAAGAAAAUUAUACAUUGUUGCUCAUUGACAUCAGGCUUAAGGGGCCCCUUAUGGACAGAAUAUAUAUUCUCUGCUCCAUUGAUGUUUGACCUGACUAUGUGAUGUGCUUUAGUCAAUGGAAUAAAUGUAGGCACGAUGUAUACUGUUUUUGAGAAGAAACUUUAAAAGGUACUAAUGAAAUUUCUUUGCCUGUUUGUUUCUGCCUUCUGUAUGGGUCCUGGAAUAAAAAUAUAUGGAUGAGGAUUGCAGCUGACUUCAGCCUACAUGCAGUUUGAAUAUGAAACAGAUUCCAUACCCCUUCAGGAGGCACACGUUAUCUUCUGUGGCCUGACUCCUACCAUAUCAGUGUACUGUCACCCAGAAAACUGUUAUAGAAGAUGUCCGAGCAUAUGGAAAAGAACCUUGAACAUGGAACAAGGAGACACGGGUUCAGCCUCUGGGCAAAUAAUUGAACUGGCACAACAAAGAAAAAGAUGUCGGAAAUUGUUCAUCAAAAAACUGAGUGCUUAUCUAUGAAUCAACUGCCCUACUUGCCCACGUCUUCCUCCUGCGAUGAACUCAGGCACUGGUACGCAGUAUAGACAUGGUACAGAGGAUUGUCUCAGAGAGGUUGUGCUGUUCUUUUCCCUACUUCACCCUCCCGAGUUGUGCCAUCUUGGUCAUGUUGCUUAACUUACCUGUUUCAGUUUUUCCAACUGUAAAAUAUGGAUGAUAAACUUGCCUAUCUAUCUCAUGGAGCUGUCAUGGAAAUAUAAUGCAAAGCAUUUCACUGUCUCAAUUUUGUUAUUUGAAAAGGAGUAAUUUGUAAACAAAAAUAAAUCCUUUCAAGUCAUUUUCUAAAAUUCUGUAAUUGACAAAUAUUUACUAAAAUAUUAAACUGAGGAUUUAUAAGUUUUCUAAUAUUACUUUCCAAAACUAGACUAUUUAAAAGGGAAAAUGGCUGAUAAUAUCAGUGCAGUUCUCAAGCAGUGUCUAUCCUCUUACCUCAUUAUGAUCUUGAUGAAACACUUGCCAAUAUAAAAUCAUGACAAAGCUAUUUCAUGGGUGUGCACCAUGAGAAAACUACUUUAACUUCAAUUUUUUUUGGCUUGGUUACUUUCACUGGUCAUUUUCUUUUGUUGUUGGUUUCAAAACUCAUUGCUAUUUCCACUGACUACUUUGGCCUCCUAGUCAAUCAUAUCUUUUUGUAAGACCAUAAAACUUUGACAUUUUUGCCAAAAAGUAAUCAGUAUUGUCAAUUUAAAAUUUCCCUUGAUUUCAAGAUUCUCUAAUACACAGUAUUUUUUUUUAACUUUCCCCCAUUAGUUCCAUAUUAUAUUUUACAUAGUAGACAUUCAAU
RNAcentral lists this long non-coding RNA (1904 nucleotides) under Homo sapiens (human). Its description in RNAcentral is "HSALNT0403572". Lineage: Eukaryota; Metazoa; Chordata; Mammalia; Primates; Hominidae. The record is from RNAcentral.